GACGAACGCUGGCGGCGUGCUUAACACAUGCCAGUCGAACGGAAAGGCCCCUUUGGGGGUACUCGAGUGGCGCAUGGGUGAGUAACACGUGAGUAACCUGCCCUUGACUUCGGGAUAACUUCAGGAAACUGGGGCUAAUACCGGAUAGGAAUCCUUGCUGCAUGGUGGGGGUUGGAAAGCUUCGGCGGUUUUGGAUGGACUCGCGGCUUAUCAGCUUGUUGGUGGGGUAGUGGCUUACCAAGGCUUUGACGGGUAGCCGGCCUGAGAGGGCGACCGGCCACAUUGGGACUGAGAUACGGCCCAGACUCCUACGGGAGGCAGCAGUGGGGAAUAUUGCACAAUGGGCGGAAGCCUGAUGCAGCAACGCCGCGGGCGGGAUGACGGCCUUCGGGUUGUAAACCGCUUUCAGCAGGGGCGAAGCUUGUGGUGACGGUACCUGCAGAAGAAGCACCGGCUAACUACGUG
Molecule: ribosomal RNA, 465 nt
Filed under: uncultured bacterium
Lineage: Bacteria
Description: partial 16S ribosomal RNA
Rfam family: Bacterial small subunit ribosomal RNA
Source: RNAcentral